CAGUUGCUAAGCCAUAUUUCUGCUCUGAUGGAAAAAAAAAAAAAAGGAAGUGAGAAACAACUGGGAGAAAGCACCUAUCUCCCAUUCCACAGUAUUAGGAUGUAUUUCCUUUAACAUUGUCCUCUACUGUACUUCGAUGCAAAAAACCCUACAGAGGUGUAAAAAAUGCACCAUUCUCUGGAAUAAUUAAGUGUGAAUUGAUUAUAUGUUGCUUUUUGUACUACAUUAACAGAAAACUCAUGCUGUUGAAUGCAAGAUCAAGAACUGUUGAAUUUUGACCUCAGCACUGAUCUUCUGCUCUACCCUGACCUGCAUUAAGAAAAUCGGAUCAGAUGAUGCCAGCUAGACAAACUCAGUCCACUGGGUUUGAAAAGGCAGGGAGAGAAGGGUUUCAUGGAGGAAAUGGGUGGAGAGAAGGACUGAAAAGACAAGUAUCCUGACCACUAUCAUAAAACAUGCAUUGAAGCCUCUGGUUCCUCACAGCAUCGUCCAAAGUGUGUAGCAUCUCAGAGGACAUUUGCAGAUAACUUGCAGCUAGCACACAGGAGAUGGAUCUUAAUUCUUUCAUAUAGUUUCUGUGGCUAGUACUGGGAUUUGUCUUGGUAAGACAGGAGGUAACCAGAUUUGCUCCCUGAAAAGGAGCUAUCUAUAUGAAACCUCUUUUAAAAUGCUUCUGCUCUCUACAAGGGGCUAUAUACGCAUAAGAAACAUGUCCACACAAUAAUAUGAAGAAGGCCUAACUAUUCCACAUAUGGUGUUAGUUGUCUAAUUUUUCACUACAAAAGGAACAUCUUCCAAAGACCCAUUUUUUAGCUGUAAGAAGCUGCAAAGUUUGGAUUUUGUGCAAUAUUUUUGCACUGUUCUAUUCUUUCCUCUUUCCAUGCACAUUUAACACAUAAUC
Molecule: long non-coding RNA, 901 nt
Filed under: Numida meleagris (helmeted guineafowl)
Lineage: Eukaryota; Metazoa; Chordata; Aves; Galliformes; Numididae
Description: lncRNA (ENSNMEG00000022168.1)
Source: RNAcentral